Molecule: ribosomal RNA, 306 nt
Filed under: Triticum aestivum (bread wheat)
Lineage: Eukaryota; Viridiplantae; Streptophyta; Magnoliopsida; Poales; Poaceae
Description: partial small subunit ribosomal RNA
Source: RNAcentral
AUGUUCUCGUCCCAAUCUGCAAGCCGCAUCAAUAACAUCAGAACGUCCCUCAUCAAUGCCCAGAAGGGGAAUCUCUCCGUCGCCUCCUACUUCGCCGCCAUGCGUGGCUACGCCGACGAGCUAGCCGCCGCGGGCAAGGCGAUCCCCGACGAUGAACUCGCCUCCUACAUCAUCCAUGGGCUCGACGCCGACUACCAGCCCCUGGUUUCUGCCCUCGACGCUCGCGUGAUCGCUGUGACCCUUGAUGAGCUCUUUUCCAUGCUGUCAAACUUCGAUCAGCGCAUGGUUCAGUUCCAAGGGUCCGGC